AAUUGCGAUGAUGACUCCGAAAAUUCAAGCUCAACAGACCGGAAUGCAGGUUUUUCUCUUCAGAGAAUACAUUUGCGUGUCGACAACCCCGCUGAACUGAGCAAUC
RNAcentral lists this small nucleolar RNA (106 nucleotides) under Macleaya cordata. RNAcentral's name for it is "Small nucleolar RNA Z107/R87". It matches the Rfam family "Small nucleolar RNA Z107/R87". Rfam says of the family: Z107 and R87 are members of the C/D class of snoRNA which contain the C (UGAUGA) and D (CUGA) box motifs. Lineage: Eukaryota; Viridiplantae; Streptophyta; Magnoliopsida; Ranunculales; Papaveraceae. The record is from Rfam by way of RNAcentral.